AUGGUCAGCAGGGGACAGGACUCCUUGCGUCGUAACGAGGAUCUAGAUGAUGAGUUCUUUGGGGGUGCAUCAUUGGCAGGUACUGACUAUUCUGGUGAAGAAGAUGAGUCAACGGUAGCAUCGCAAGUCCCAAUCGACUACAUGGACGAAGCUGAAGCAUUGAAUGGUGAAACAAAUAUGCCGGGAUUGAUUAACUUAAAUGAUUUGCUAGCUGCCCUGAACACAUGCGUCUGGUGGAUCGCGUGGAUAGGAGCAAUACUUGUGGUUGGUAGCGCAAGGGCAGGAGAUGCUGAUGAUGAAGACCCCCCCCCCAUCAGCGGCCCUAUAUUGCUGGGUUGGCACGGUGUUCUAGAUGCACCAGACGGUCCAACAGAUAUGGGAGAGCAGCGUUCCAGGCAGCGUCGAAGGGCCCGUCCACAUGGAUUAGAUGUUCCAACAACAUGUCGGCCUGGUCCUUCCUUCCAACAUGACAACGGAGAUUCGGAUGAUGGUGAAGCUCGUAGACAUGGACUGCAAUCUGUGAAUGAUGGGUCAGCCACAUGCUUACAGCAAGCAGUGAUCACGUAUCUUCAUGACUGUGAUGCUGCCAAAAAUGGUAAAACACACAUAGUAGCUGCAGACAUGACCGAUACAGACGAAAUGGGUGCAGCAGUGGACCAAGUCGCUCGAGCAGCAAAUGUGGUGGUUGAGCAAACCAGAACCAAUGAAAAUACGGCUCGUCCAACUGUGCUAGAUGUGCAAACAUACUGCAAUCCUGGUCCUUCUUUCCGGCGUCACGAAGCAAAUGGCGCCGACGGUGAGGCUCGUGCACAGGGUUUUGCUUUAAACGGGACUGGCUCACUGACUAACUUCUGA
Molecule: ribosomal RNA, 855 nt
Filed under: Triticum aestivum (bread wheat)
Lineage: Eukaryota; Viridiplantae; Streptophyta; Magnoliopsida; Poales; Poaceae
Description: partial small subunit ribosomal RNA
Source: RNAcentral